This 253-nucleotide ribosomal RNA is filed under the name uncultured bacterium. Its description in RNAcentral is "partial 16S ribosomal RNA". It matches the Rfam family "Bacterial small subunit ribosomal RNA", at positions 524 to 776 of the family's 1533-position model. The record is from RNAcentral.
UACGAAGGGGGCGAGCGUUGUUCGGAAUUACUGGGCGUAAAGGGCGCGUAGGCGGCGACUCUAGUCAGAUGUGAAAGUCCUGGGCUUAACCUGGGGACUGCAUUUGAUACUGGGUUGCUUGAAUUCGGGAGAGGAUAGCGGAAUUCCCAGUGUAGAGGUGAAAUUCGUAGAUAUUGGGAAGAACACCGGUGGUGAAGGCGGCUAUCUGGACCGACAUUGACGCUGAGGCGCGAAAGCGUGGGGAGCAAACAGG